UAUAUUUUAGUAUUAGAAGUACACAGGUUUUUGAUAUCUGAGGGGGUGGUUUAUUUCCAUUAAAUAUAA
RNAcentral lists this transfer RNA (69 nucleotides) under Tenebrionoidea sp. 19 KM-2017. RNAcentral's name for it is "tRNA-Gln". Lineage: Eukaryota; Metazoa; Arthropoda; Insecta; Coleoptera. The record is from RNAcentral.